Molecule: small nucleolar RNA, 126 nt
Organism: Jaculus jaculus (lesser Egyptian jerboa)
Lineage: Eukaryota; Metazoa; Chordata; Mammalia; Rodentia; Dipodidae
Source: RefSeq, a predicted model, not a curated record
GCACACUGUUUGUAACUUGCCAGUCUUGCUGUGGCUGGUGGGCUCCAUUCCAGUGCUACAGCAUUUCCAGUGACACAUACAUGACUGUUGGCUGGGGCCUUUUAGUUUCUGGUCUUGGAAACAUGC